AAUAUUGGACAAUGGGGGCAACCCUGUUCCAGCCAUGCCGCGUGUGUGAAGAAGGUCUUCGUAUUGUAAAGCACUUUAUGUUGGGAGGAAGGGCCGUAAGUUAAUACCUUGCUGUUUUGACGUUACCUACAGAAUAAGCACCGGCUAACUUCGUUCCAGCAGCCGCGGUAAUACGAAGGGUGCAAGCGUUAAUCGGAAUUACUGGGCGUAAAGCGCGCGUAGGCGGUUUGUCAAGUUGGAAGUGAAAGCCCCGGGCUCAACCUGGGAACUGCUUUCAAAACUGGCAAGCUAGAGUAUGGCAGAGGGUGGUGGAAUUUCCUGUGUAGCGGUGAAAUGCGUAGAUAUAGGAAGGAACACCAGUGGCGAAGGCGACUACCUGGACUGAUACUGACACUGAGGUGCGAAAGCGUGGGGAGCAAAC
Molecule: ribosomal RNA, 421 nt
Filed under: uncultured bacterium
Lineage: Bacteria
Description: partial 16S ribosomal RNA
Rfam family: Bacterial small subunit ribosomal RNA
Source: RNAcentral